UGCGUAGGUGGCCUUUUAAGUUGGAUGUGAAAUACCCGGGCUUAACUUGGGGGGUGCAUCCAAUACUGGAGGGCUAGAGUGCAGGAGAGGGAAGCGGAAUUCCUAGUGUAGCGGUGAAAUGCGUAGAUAUUAGGAGGAACACCAGUGGCGAAGGCGGCUUUCUGGACUGUAACUGACACUGAGGCACGAAAGCGUGGGGAGCAAACA
Molecule: ribosomal RNA, 207 nt
Filed under: uncultured bacterium
Lineage: Bacteria
Description: partial 16S ribosomal RNA
Rfam family: Bacterial small subunit ribosomal RNA
Source: RNAcentral